RNAcentral lists this ribosomal RNA (258 nucleotides) under uncultured prokaryote. RNAcentral's name for it is "partial 16S ribosomal RNA". It matches the Rfam family "Bacterial small subunit ribosomal RNA", at positions 524 to 780 of the family's 1533-position model. The record is from RNAcentral.
UACGUAGGGUGCGAGCGUUGUCCGGAAUUACUGGGCGUAAAGAGCUCGUAGGUGGUUUGUCAUGUCGUCUGUGAAAUUCCGGGGCUUAACCUCGGGCGUGCAGGCGAUACGGGCAAUACUUGAGUGCUGUAGGGGAGACUGGAAUUCCUGGUGUAGCGGUGAAAUGCGCAGAUAUCAGGAGGAACACCGAUGGCGAAGGCAGGUCUCUGGGCAGUAACUGACGCUGAGGAGCGAAAGCAUGGGUAGCGAACAGGAUUA